UACGUAGGGGGCGAGCGUUGUCCGGAUUUACUGGGUGUAAAGGGUGCGUAGGCGGCUCUGUAAGUCAGAAGUGAAAUCCAUGGGCUCAACCCAUGAACUGCUUUUGAAACUGUGGAGCUUGAGUGAAGUAGAGGUAGGCGGAAUUCCCGGUGUAGCGGUGAAAUGCGUAGAGAUCGGGAGGAACACCAGUGGCGAAGGCGGCCUACUGGGCUUUAACUGACGCUGAGGCACGAAAGCGUGGGUAGCAAACAGG
This 253-nucleotide ribosomal RNA is filed under the name uncultured bacterium. RNAcentral's name for it is "partial 16S ribosomal RNA". It matches the Rfam family "Bacterial small subunit ribosomal RNA", at positions 524 to 776 of the family's 1533-position model. The record is from RNAcentral.